UCUCAUUCAUCAUCGAUUCAUCACCGCUAUGCACAACAUCUCGUCUCAUUCCUCUUCAUUACCUUGCCGAUCAGUUGUCACCGCCACUGUUAGCCUCUCCUCACCACCGCUGUUAGCCUCUCUUCACUGUUGCCACUGCUGUCUUCUUCCCUCGCCGAUCGGCGCUGCCUACUCGUCGUCGUCGCGUUGAAAAUUGAUGAUAAGGGAAAUACAAAUGAUUGUUGCUUUGCUAGUGGAAACCCUCCUGCACCAAUUGCAGAAUCAACUACUGUUGCUAGUUCUAACACUACCACAAUGCCUGCCAAAAUUUUUGAUGUUCCUAGUCAUCAUAGAAGAUUACGUCAUCAAGAAACAAGUUUCUCAAAGAAGAAAAAGAUUGACAUAGUUGAGUGUGUUAUAGAGCCAACAACAGAUACGAGUGAAAAUCAAGUAGAAGUUGAAUGUGAAUCUAACAUUGACCAUGGGGAGACCAAACAAUAGCAACUGAAACAAGCUACACAGCUGCCCAAAGCAA
This is a non-coding RNA of Camellia sinensis, 514 nucleotides long. The record is from RefSeq and is a predicted model, not a curated record. Lineage: Eukaryota; Viridiplantae; Streptophyta; Magnoliopsida; Ericales; Theaceae.